GAGCAUAGAGCUAAUAGGGAACAGAAGAAGAAUUGGUUUAGUGGAGGCUCAUUCACAGGAUUAAUUACUGGGCAAGACACAAGCAGAGCUAGAAUGUUCCCACCAGGGAAAGACUGACAUUUGAAAAGGAAAAAAUAAUCCAUACUGAUCCUCAGGGCUCACUGGCUGCCUACAGUCACAUAUUACUGACAUCCGGACCAGCAGUCUUUUUGAAGUCAAUAAUGGUGCCACCAAAGAACUGGAGAUGAGGAGCAGGGGCCUUUCUACAACUCUAGGGAGGAGGACAGAGAUAAGUGACCAGACAGGCCCUGCUGUGGUGUCCUUCGAUGAGUCCCUUCCUAGUGUUCACCCUUAGUAUCAGCUUUUCACAUAUAGGAAGGCAACAGUACACAGGGGACACAGUGGAGCAGAGCUACGACUCAAAUUCCAACUCUGCCAAAAGCCAGUACUGUGACCCUGGUUUCUGUGUGCCUCCAUUCCCUUAUUAAUAAGAUAAAAAGGCCAUCCUCUGCCACAUAUGCGGCCAGAGCCAUGGGUCCCUCCAUGUGUAUUCUUUGGUGGUCCAGUCCCUGGGAGGCCCAGGGGAGUCUGGCCUGUUGACACUGUUGCUCCCUCCAUGGGACUGCAAACCCCCUCAGCUCCUUCUCCAAUUCCUCCACCGGGAACUCCCAGCUCAGUCCAAUGGUUGGCUGCGAGCUUCCUCUUCUGUAUCUACCAGGCUCUGGAAGAAUGCCAGGGCAGAAGGAUCAGAGUUCGUGGGUGGGUGAGCAUCCUCAUAGAGGCAGGGGAAGGGGGAUGUUAUAGGAGGUUUCUGAAGGGAAGACCUGAAAAGGGGCAAAGCUUUGAAAUGUAAAUAAAGAAAAUAUCCAAUCCAAAACAAAAAGGAUAGAAAGGAUAGGGGCUUAGAACAAACAUUUCAAAGAAUCAAAGCGUCCAAUGUAAAGCACAGAGUCUGUGAGCCAGCUGCCACUGUGAGGAUUAGUAAUGUCGAGCGCGUGCUGUCCCUUUGUUUCCAACACUUCCGAUAACGUUAUUUUCAGUAAAAGUAAGGGGACUUUGAUAAUACAGGGCAUGUUUUAUGUGCACUACAUGAUCACUCAUGUCCUUGUGUCACCGUUACUCUUGUCAUAUACAAGAAAACCAUCAGUGAGUCAAGACAUCAAGUUACAAGGUUUGUACCGCUUCUAAUCUUGGUCAGAGGAACUUCUUAUCAAUGUAGGGUUAAUCAGAGAUAUGUUACUGUGCAAAGUGCUGAGGAUAUGCAACUGGGAAUGUAUGGUCACAGAUGACGUAUAUCUCAACCACUACACUCCUGCCCUAAGGCUCAGGGAACAUCAUGGAAUGGGAAGAACAAGUAAAGAAAACCUUAACAUGCAAGUAAUAUAUACAAGAGACACAAAGAAAGACAGUGAAAAGGAAGGUUACCUCGAGGGACCAUCAUGGUGAAUAACUGAAGAGAAGAGCAGAAUACAGUCUUAAAGAUGAUCAUUUCACCUUGGGGAUGGACUGGUUUGUAUCACUGACUAAAUAAAAUUUAAUUUUUU
RNAcentral lists this long non-coding RNA (1544 nucleotides) under Mus musculus (house mouse). Its description in RNAcentral is "predicted gene, 49574". Lineage: Eukaryota; Metazoa; Chordata; Mammalia; Rodentia; Muridae. The record is from RNAcentral.